Melanotaenia boesemani (Boeseman's rainbowfish) is the source of this 1511-nucleotide long non-coding RNA. RefSeq lists it as uncharacterized. Lineage: Eukaryota; Metazoa; Chordata; Actinopteri; Atheriniformes; Melanotaeniidae. The transcript is spliced from 3 exons. The record is from RefSeq and is a predicted model, not a curated record.
UUUGCCUCGUGUUCUUGUAAGUGUCCAGCAGAUGACGCUGUUGCGUUUUUUUUUAUUACGCUAAGUGUUUACUGAAUCGGGUAUAUAGUCGCACGCGUGACGUCAGCACAGCGCGACAGCCGAAUGCCACUGAACGGUAGCUGACAACGACGCUGAUGAUUGAUGCGGAUUGAGGCUGAGAACGGAGUUAAGUGAAACGUGGUUGCUGAGCAGCGCCCAUCGCCUCGCUGGGGGAAUACUGGACAGCGCAACGGCAGGGGAGAUAGCACUGUCUGUUGGUUUCCUGGGAGAGCGUGUUCUUCAGUUGGGGCAGGCUAUCCGCCAUGGUGAAUGUAAGUGCAAGUUGGUAUUGUAAAUAGGGACUGUUUUCUUUAUUUUUAUAAUAUGUCCUGUAACCAAAUGCAUUUAAUAACAUGACUGUAUUUUGGAUGUGUGCUUAGUAGUGUCUAUUCUUUGUUUUAUAACAGGAAUAGUCCACUACUGUUGUCUUAUUUUGGGUCUUAUUUUGGUCUUAUCUUUUCUUUUCUUUCUUCACCGGUCUCUUUGACCUGAACCAGUUUUUUGUUGGGAGUCCUGAGUUUCAGUUUAUGGACAUUGAAGAUACUUUUUGUUCAUAAGGAAUAUAUUGAACCUUGAAGAGAGGUGUUUCUUGUUGCUACCUAAAUGUUACAGAGGAACCUAAGUUAUUUUGUGGAAACACACAAACCAAACAAAUUAAUGCUGCUCUCCUUUUGGGGAACAGUCGGGAAAUAAAAGACCCACAUUAUUUUUGGAGCUGCCUGUCGUGUGCGGUUUUUUUCUCGUUCCUACACCUGGCCCCACACCCACACGCCACCGCCAGCCCACAUAUUGGUGUCAGAAGUGGGAUUUCCAGUUUGAUUUGUCCCGUUUUGAAUUUGCAUUUUUGUCAGGACUUUAUUAAUAGGGUUUUUUUAGUGGUAUAAGACAACAGUAGUGGUGAAGAGGAGUCCCAUCCGCCUUGUUGUGAGUGGUACAGAGCUUCUGAGGGGCCGAGCGAGGACAAGCUGAGCUGCUCGGACGAGACACGGCUGCUCAGGUGCCAGGAGUUACACAUCGACCCCAAAAGGCCAAGGGACAGCACAACUCAAAAAAGGACUGUGUGACCCCAGAGGAGACAUUCACAAAAUGUCCGACAACGAGGAAGGACUGGACAUGUCCAUGCCUGGAACCAGCCAGGCGGGAGGUGAUUCUGCUACUGCUUCGUCUGAGAGUGGUAACAGUGGUAAUCAGUUAAUACAGUUACAGUCACAAAUCACUGAACUGAGUAGAAAACAUGAUGCUGUAAUGUCAAGUAUUGCUUCAUUGGGUGAUGUACAAACAAGGUCCAUUGUGUAUGUGCCUAGAGAGAAACAGAUAGUACCAUUUAGUGGUGAUCCAGGUAAGGAUGCUCACUCUGUCGAUGAGUUUAUUGAAGAGGUAGAGCGGGCUGUCAGUCUAAGGGGUCUGAGGGAACAUGACCAAGUAGACUUUGUGAUGUCACUGCUAAAGGG